UGGGCGGGACCAGAGGAGGGAGGCGUGCAGCCGGGUGCCAGGGGCCCACGCAGAGCCCCGCGGGCCUUCGUGACUCACCGAGGCAGCCAGCAAGACGCAGGGAGGCAGAAGGGCCCCCCCACCCCCGGCCUGGAACCGCCAGCAGGUGGAGGCGGGCUAGGGCCCAGGGGUUCACACGGCCCUCCACAGGCUCCCCAGCCUGCUCCCGCCCCCUGCAGCGCCCUGGGAAAUGUGUGGGACCCACUUCGUGGCCACCUACGCACCUUCAGUCCUGGUGACUCAGCCAUCCAGCACAACUGCCCUUGAUAUUAUUUGUAACCUGACGUCACCUGAUCUAGGAGCGUCUGGGAGCAGAUUUGCCUGGACAGUUCCACUAAGAGAGCCAGCCCCGCACAGGAGAGGGGAGACCCUUCAGGUUCUCCCCUAAGAGCGUUUCCCACCGGGCGAACCUGGGAGACAGAGGCCAGGCCUGCCCCUGAAGUGGGGCGCACGGAUCUGCCUUCGUGCCCUGGCCCUGUUUUGUCUCAGCAAGAGUCCGGUUACCGGGGCUUCAUAGCCUCUCCAGGCCCCGCGGGGAAGGCAGCUUCGGAGCUUGCAGAGUUAGCAGAGAGCGGCUUUCAUGCAAGCAGGAAGCUGCCCAGAUUGCUUUACACUGCCAUCUGAAGUCUCUUCCUCUUCCGCCCACUGCAACACCACCUCCUCACGUCCUCCGGGAUAAGGAAGACGCAGAGACGAGCCUCGGUCUGUUGGACGACAGCUGAGCCACACUGCCAGUCCUGUUCCUUCUCCAUCUGGCUUUCUCGGUGAACUUUCCGCUGAACUCCUUCCAAGCCUGCGGGCAGCUCUCCUGCCGGGAGGACCCGGUGCCAGGCAGACCAGAAUAAUCGCCUCCUGUGUUCUGCACGCGCAGCCUUCAGUGAUGCAUCCCUGGAGUGGCAUUUGCAGCCUGUGUCUCGGCAGCCAGCCCCUGAAGAGCCGGCACUUCAUCACCCUCUGGUCCUCUCUUGUCUCAAAGCCCGAGAGCCUGUGUCAGAGUGGCUGAGGCUUCCUUGGGAAGACACGCCGUUGGUGGAUAGGAGGUUUUUGUGUGGCUGUGCUCUCUCAGCUGCACGUAUAAAGACUAAAUUUUUUUUUUUGAGGUUUGUUUAUUUAUUUGAAAGGCAUAGAGAGGGAGAGACAAUCUUCCAUCUGCUGAUUCACUCCCCAAAUGGCUGUUAACAGUCAAAGGCUGGGUCCAGCUCAAGCCAGGAGCCUGGAGCUCCAUCCAAGUCUCCCCCAUCAUUAGCAGGGGCCCAAGCACUUGGGCCAUCUUUGGCUGCUUUCCCAGGCCAUUAGCCUGGAGCCGAUUGGAAGUGGAGCCGCUGAGACCUGGGAUGCUGGCACUGCAGGAGGCAGCUUAACCUGCUGCACCACAAUGCUGGCCCCCUAGAAACACGGCUUCUAAUCCAAGGAGACCACAGGAGGAAGAAUACAGGGUGGGAGGGGGUUGUACACAGGCAUUAGGAGACCUGGGUUUCAGUGUGGCUCUGCUGAUGGUCAGGCUUGUGACCUUGGGCAAAACCAUACAUUUCCAAAAGCCCUGUCUUCACUUAAUGCUGUAGUUUUGCUAUGGCUUAAGCAUGUCUCCCAAAGGUACAUGUUCUGGAGAUUGGUCCCAGCGUAGCAGUGCUGGGGGGUGGAACCUUUAAGAUGUGAGGACUGGCAGCAGGUGGUAAAGACAUAGGGGGCCCUGCUCCAGGAAAGGAUUAAUGGGACACCCCCACUCCCACCCUAGAGUGAGUGCUCCAGAGAGAGGAUUCUUAUCCAGUGAGGCCACCCCACGAGCUGGUGCCUUCUGUAUACAUCCCAUUCCCGCUCCAUUUCUUGGCCACAGGGUAAAGUAGGCAAGGGGUCCUCAUCAGGACACCAGUGCCAUGCUGUUUGGAGCUUCAGCCGCCAGAUUCACGGGCCAUGUAAGCGUCUUUGCUUUAUAAAUUACCCAGCCUCAGAUAUUUUGUCAUAGCAACAGAAAGUGUCCUGGGAUACAAAAUAAGGGACUUGGCUUUGAGAUAAAGGCUCAUAGCAUCUUUGAGCUCAUCUGGUCUACCUAUCCUGUCACCGAGAAGUAAAAUUAGGCCCGGGGUGGCCACAGCUUCAUGAAGGUAAUGUAGCUAAGUGGUGUUAAGACUUGGGAGCAGGAGGCAGGCACUGUGGGGUAGUGGGAUCAGCAUCUGUCUGGGGUGCUGGAAUCCCAUCUGGACGCUAGUUUGAGCUCUGGCUGCUCCACGUUUGAUCCAGCUCCCUGCUGAUGGCCUGGGAAAGCAGUGGAAGAUGGCUGGCCCAAGGGCUUGGGUCCCUGCACCCAAGCGGAGGACCAGGAGGAGGCUCUUGGCUCCUGGCUUUGGAUCGGCUUUGGCAGCCAUAUGAGGAGUGAACCAGCAGAUGGAAUACCUCUCUCUCCAUCUCUCCCUCUUUCUGUCUGGCCUCUCAAGUGAAAAAAUAAAUCUUAAGAAAAAAAAAGGGGGGGGGGACUUGGGACCUUGUGGGACCUUGGGGCCAGCAUUGUAGAAGAGUGGGUUAAUCUACCAUUUGUGAUACCAGCAUCCCAUAUGGGGGCACCAGUUCAAGUCCCAGCAGCUCUGCUCUGAUCCACCUCCCUGUUAAUGUACCUGGGAAAGCAGGGGAAGAUGGCCCAGGUACCUGGGUUCCUGUCACCAAAGUGGGAGGCCCAGGCAGCCACUGCAGCCAUUUGGGGAGUGAACCAAAGGACAAAAGGUCUCUCUCUGCCACUCUGGCUUUCAAAUAAAUACAUGUCUUUUUCUUUUCUUUAUUUUAUUUUAUUUUAUUUUAUUUUUUGACAGGCAGAGUGGACAGUGAGAGAGAGAGACAGAGAGAAAGGUCUUCCUUUGCCGUUGGUUCACCCUCCAAUGGCUGCAGUGGCACACCGCGCUGAUCCGAUGGCAGGAGCCAGGUACUUCUCCUGGUCUCCCAUGGGGUGCAGGGCCCAAGCACUUGGACCAUCCUCCACUGCACUCCCGGGCCACAGCAGAGAGCUGGCCUGGAAGAGGGGCAACCAGGACAGAAUCCGGCCCCCCGACCGGGACUAGAACCCGGUGUUCUGGCGCCGCAAGGCGGAGGAUUAGCCUAGUGAGCUGCAGCGCUGGCCAAUACAUGUCUUUUUCAAAAAAGACUCGGGACCUUGUUUCAGGCUUGCUGCCUCCUGGAUUUGGGUGCAAACGGGUGAAAGAGGGAGACAUCUUGGGAGGGCACAGCCGUGGUGAAGGGAUUCCAUCCUCUGCAUGCAGGGAACCGCAUGGGGGCACCUUUCCUUCAUGUCAAGGUCGCCAGCCCCAGCCUCAGAGUGGAAGCUCUCACCCAGGGGCAAUCUGGCCCCUUGGGGGGGACAGUUUUGGUUGUCCCCACAGGCAGGGGUGGGGAUGGGGAUUCUGCUGUGUCUCUCCUGUGCAGGCUGCAGGCUGCAGGCACAGGCAGCCCCUCCACAGAGCCAGUCCAAAAUCUAGUAGGGCUGAGGUGAGACCCCCCCUUCUCUGCUGCACUCUAACCUGGAAUUUCAAACAUCCUUCCCUCCUUCCUCCAGCCUCAAAAGGGCUCUUUUUGCUGAUUUUGCUAUUGAUGCUGACUUUUAAAAUAUAAUUUUUUUCUUGUAUAUAAAAAUCAUCCAUGCUCAGUUUAAAGAAUUUAGGGAAUAUCAAUCAACCAUAAUCCUACCACAUGGAGGUAAGAAUAUUUUCGUAUUUGGAUUCUUUUUCCAUUUUACCUAUGAUUCACUGAGCACAUUGUGCUUUCUCUGUUUCCUGGCUUUUCUCAACAGCUCUCUCUGCACCUCGCUCCACUACAACCUGUCAAAAGCUCACCCGCCCUUCGGUUACCUCCAAGAGCACCUGCUCCAGGAAGCAUUGCAGGUCUCUCAAGACAACAGACCAGACAACCGCCCUUCAGGUCUGUCUGCGGCAGAGAACCUCUCAGUCAGCAGUGGCUUUGUUGCUCCAUUACUUGGGAUGACUCCGGAGAGCUUCCCAAGUGUGUGACUUUGGAGACAUUCAAUAGUACCAUAGAGAUGGGAAACUUCAACUUCAAGAGACCCUAAUGUGCAUGCGGCACUGGAACACCUACACAAAUUCUCUGAUCGAUACUACGGAAGGGGUGCAUUAGCAGGAGGCUGGAUUGGAAGUGGAGCAGCUGGGACCUGAACCAGCACUCACAUGGGAUGCCAGCGCUGCAGGCGGCAGCUUUACCCGCUAUACCACAGCGCCAGCCCCAGGUAAUUUGGUAUUAAAAAAAAAAACAUAAAACCGCAUUCACCUAGGAUUUAACUGAGGACUCCUGGAGCAUCCCGGUCCUGAUGGGCAGGUGGACAGAGGAUGGAGCCUUCAGCUUGGGAAUUUUCAGUGGCACCUGCUGGGCCUGCAGGUUCUGAGCUGGAAGGAUGCUGCGGAGCUCUCGCGUGUGCACAAGCAGACGAAGCCCUCAAGCUGACCGAAUAGCAUCGCAGCUCAGAGCUCGGAACCACCGUGCCUGAGUCCCGCCCCCUGGUAGCUGUGCGACCGUGGACGAGUCACCUACCCUCUCUUCCCUGAGCACCCUCACCUGCUAAAAUGUGGAGAAUCAUACAACAGACUCCCUCUUAUCUUCAGCUUCCAUGUCCACACACUUCAUUACCUACAGCCAACCAUGUUCCAAAAAUAUUAAUUGGAAAAUUCUAAAAAUAAACUGUUCAUAUAUUUUAAAUAAUUCUUAUUAUAAAGAAUUGCUACAAUUACCCAAUUUCAUUAUUCGUUUUUGUUGUUAAGCUCUUACUGUGCCUUAUUCAUGAAUUAAAUCUUACCAUAGACACAUAUGUUUAAAAAUAUAUCAGGGUUUUGUGUUGUGGUGUAGUGGGUUAAGCCGCUGCCUACAAGGCCGUCAUCUCAUAUGGGUGCCAGUUCAAGUCCCAGCUGCUCCACUUCUGAUCCAGCUCCUGCUAGUUCACCUGGGAAAGCAGUGGAUGAUGGCUCAAGUGCUUGGGCCCCUGAAUCCAUGUGGAAGACUUGGAGGACACUCCUGGCCCCUGACUUCAGAUCAGCCUCGCUCCAGCUGUUGUGGCCAUUUGGGGAGUAAACCAGUGGAUGGAUGCUCUCUUUCCCUCUCUCUCUUUCCCUCUCUGUAACUCUGCCUUUCAAAUAAAUAAAUGCAUCUAAAAAAAAUAAGCAUGAACACUCCACUCCAUAACGGAAAAACCCAACUCUGCAACAAGAACCAAGUCCUGGGAGCUGGAGGUGAAAGCAGAGGUGCUUCACAAAAACAGAAAAGGAAAAAGGAAAAAAGAAACAACAGCGUAUGUACAGGCUUUGGGGUUCUCUGGUUUCAGGCAUCCAUGGAGGGUGAGGGACAACUGCACCUGCCUCAGAGGCUGAUUUUUGUGAGGAUUAAAUGAGUCAAGUGUGUGUGCGUGUGGGGGGCAUUUAGAACAGGGUGGCCUUGGAGCAGUCUUAGUGUUGGCUCAGUGUAAAGCUCCCCCAGGUGCCACCAAGAUGGAGUCAGGUGACCAGGAGGGAACAAAAGAGGAGUGGUCGAUGUGGAAGGGGAUGUGUGGUGCUCAGUAAAGGCUCCAAACCAAGCCUUGAAGUUGAGUUGCUGGGGCCUGCGUUGUGGCGUAGUAUUGGUUAAGCCACAGCCUACAACACCAGUAUCCCAUAUGAGUGCUGGUUUGAGCCCUGGCUGUUGGGAUUCCAAUGCAAGAAAAGCAGGAGAAGAUGGCCCAAGUGUUUGGGCCCCGGCACCCAUGUGGGAGACCCAGAUAGAAUUCUUGGCUCCUGGCUCUGGCCUGACUCAGCCCUGGUCGUUGUGGCCAUUUGGGGAGUGAACCAGCAGAUGGAGGAUCUCUGUCUCUCUGUUACUCUGCCUUUCAAGUAAAUAAAAUAGAUCUUAAAAAAAAAUCUGAAUUGUUGGUGGGGGGCAAGGAGGAGAUGGACAAAGGCUAGGAGGUGGGGCAGAGGCUGGAGGACCAAAGGGAACCAUUUGCAUUCACCAGAUCCAGGAUGAGAUCAGGAGAGGGGAGGCUGGAGUGGGGUCCAGGGACUCAAUCCCAGGGCCCUCAAGGCCAGGAGGAGUACAGGGAGGGGAUGGGAGUGGGCAGGCCGGACACGAGAGCUCCAGUCUGGACUGAGGAGGGUGCCGGAGUGCAGAGUGAUGAAGGAGCCCCUGGGCAGCAGG
Molecule: non-coding RNA, 6192 nt
Organism: Oryctolagus cuniculus (rabbit)
Lineage: Eukaryota; Metazoa; Chordata; Mammalia; Lagomorpha; Leporidae
Source: RefSeq, a predicted model, not a curated record